Molecule: ribosomal RNA, 253 nt
Filed under: uncultured bacterium
Lineage: Bacteria
Description: partial 16S ribosomal RNA
Rfam family: Bacterial small subunit ribosomal RNA
Source: RNAcentral
UACGGAGGGUGCGAGCGUUGUCCGGAAUCAUUGGGCGUAAAGCGCACGUAGGCGGCUUUGUAAGUUAGAGGUGAAAGCCCGGGGCUCAACUCCGGAAUUGCCUUUAAGACUGCAUCGCUAGAAUUGUGGAGAGGUAAGUGGAAUUCCGAGUGUAGAGGUGAAAUUCGUAGAUAUUCGGAAGAACACCAGUGGCGAAGGCGACUUACUGGACACAUAUUGACGCUGAGGUGCGAAAGCGUGGGGAGCAAACAGG